Molecule: non-coding RNA, 201 nt
Filed under: Ornithinibacillus halophilus
Lineage: Bacteria; Bacillati; Bacillota; Bacilli; Caryophanales; Bacillaceae
Description: Ornithinibacillus sp. G8B(2010) Bacterial small subunit ribosomal RNA
Rfam family: Bacterial small subunit ribosomal RNA
Source: Rfam by way of RNAcentral
UUUUUGGAGAGUUUGAUCUUGGCUCAGGACGAACGCUGGCGGCGUGCCUAAUACAUGCAAGUCGAGCGCGUGAACCUCACUGAACUCUUCGGAGGGACGUGAGUGGAUCGAGCGGCGGACGGGUGAGUAACACGUGGGCAACCUGCCUGUAAGACUGGGAUAACUCGCGGAAACGUGAGCUAAUACCGGAUAAUACUUUUA